GGUCCUAAGGUAGCGAAAUUCCUUGUCGGGUAAGUUCCGACCUGCACGAAUGGUGCAACGAUCUGGACACUGUCUCAGCCAUGAGCUCGGUGAAAUUGUAGUAUCGGUGAAGAUGCCGAUUACCCGCAGCGGGACGAAAAGACCCCGUGAACCUUUACUAUAGCUUAGUAUUGGCUUUGGAUAAGUAAUGUGUAGGAUAGGUGGGAGACAUUGAAGUGGCGUCGCUAGGCGUUGUGGAGUCGUCCUUGAAAUACCACCCUUUGCUUAUCUAGAGUCUAACUCAGAGAUGAGGACAGUGCUUGGUGGGUAGUUUGACUGGGGUGGUCGCCUCCAAAAGAGUAACGGAGGCUUCUAAAGGUACCCUCAGCACGCUUGGUAACCGUGCGUAGAGUGCAAUGGCAUAAGGGUGCUUGACUGAGAGACAUACAGGUCGAUCAGGUUGGAAACAAGAGCAUAGUGAUCCGGUGGUUCCGCAUGGAAGGGCCAUCGCUCAAAGGAUAAAAGGUACUCCGGGGAUAACAGGCUGAUCUCCCCCAAGAGCUCACAUCGACGGGGGGGUUUGGCACCUCGAUGUCGGCUCGUCACAUCCUGGGGCUGGAGAAGGUCCCAAGGGUUGGGCUGUUCGCCCAUUAAAGUGGCACGCGAGCUGGGUUCAGAACGUCGCGAGACAGUUCGGUCUCUAUCUGCUGUGGGCGUUGGAAAUUUGAGUGGAGCUGACUUUAGUACGAGAGGACCGAGUUGGACAGCCCUCUAGUGCACCUGUUGUAUCGCCAGAUGCAUCGCAGGGUAGCUACGGCUGGUUGGGAUAAGCACUGAAAGCAUAUAAGUGCGAAGCCCACCACAAGAUGAGAUUUCCCUUAAGGGCCGUUCGAGACUAGGACGUUGAUAGGCUUCAGGUGUAAAGGCAGUAAUGUCAUAGCCGAGAAGUACUAAUUACCCGUGGCUUUCUAAU
RNAcentral lists this ribosomal RNA (952 nucleotides) under seawater metagenome. RNAcentral's name for it is "bacterial LSU rRNA". It matches the Rfam family "Bacterial large subunit ribosomal RNA", at positions 1947 to 2925 of the family's 2925-position model. The record is from RNAcentral.